RNAcentral lists this ribosomal RNA (265 nucleotides) under uncultured archaeon. RNAcentral's name for it is "partial 16S ribosomal RNA". It matches the Rfam family "Archaeal small subunit ribosomal RNA", at positions 717 to 982 of the family's 1478-position model. The record is from RNAcentral.
ACACGACUACAUUAGAUACCCGGGUAGUCCUAGCCGUAAACGAUACUCGCUAGGUGUCGGCCACGGUGCGACCGUUGUCGGUGCCGUAGGGAAGCCGUGAAGCGAGCCACCUGGGAAGUACGGCCGCAAGGCUGAAACUUAAAGGAAUUGGCGGGGGAGCACAACAACGGGUGGAGCUUGCGGUUUAAUUGGACUCAACGCCGGGAAGCUCACCGGAUAAGACAGCGGAAUGAUUGCCGGGCUGAAGACCCUGCAUGACCAGCUG